AGGGAGUAAGUGCGGAGUGCCAUAGUUAUUUUUAGUUGGUUAUUAACUGAACCGUGUAUGCUCCCACGUAAACAGAGUCCUUGACAUUAUAUUUGGGACCUUCAUUCCCUCGAUGUCUAUAUGCUGGCAUAAUAUUCAUAUUUGUGCGCCAACAAGAACCAAUUAUAUAGACUCAACAUUUAAAAUUUAUUUAGAACUUGAUUCUUCAAACUAGAUUAAAUUUUUCUAGAGUUGAUUUGAUGCUAUAG
RNAcentral lists this long non-coding RNA (248 nucleotides) under Setaria viridis. Its description in RNAcentral is "long non-coding RNA (SVIR_LNC003439)". The record is from RNAcentral. Lineage: Eukaryota; Viridiplantae; Streptophyta; Magnoliopsida; Poales; Poaceae.